GCGAGUCAUUGUAGCAAUACAAGGCGGACGGCUCGGUAACACGUAGUCAACCUAACUCGUGGACGUGGAUAACCUCGGGAAACUGAGAAUAAACCACGAUAGACCAUAGGGCCUGGAACGGCUUAUGGUCCAAACAGUUUACUGCCAUGGGAUGGGACUGCGGCCUAUCAGCUUGUUGGUGAGGUAAUGGCCCACCAAGGCGAUUACAGGUACGGGCUCUGAGAGGAGAAGCCCGGAGAUGGGUACUGAGACACGGACCCAGGCCCUAUGGGGCGCAGCAGGCGAGAAACCUUAGCAAUAUGCGAAAGCACGACUGGGUCAGUCCGAGUGAUUCCUGAUAAAGGAGUCUUUUGCCUGUCCUAAAAGCACAGGUGAAUAAGGGGUGGGCAAGUCUGGUGUCAGCCGCCGCGGUAAUACCAGCGCCUCGAGUGGUCAGGACGUUUAUUGGGCCUAAAGCAUCCGUAGCCGGCUUUGCAAGUCUUCGGUUAAAUCCACCUGCUCAACAGAUGGGCUGCUGGAGAUACUACAAAGCUAGGGAGUGGGAGAGGCAGACGGUAUUCAGUGGGUAGGGGUAAAAUCCUCUGAUCCAUUGAGGACCACCAGUGGCGAAGGCGGUCUGCCAGAACACGUUCGACGGUGAGGGAUGAAAGCUGGGGGAGCAAACCGGAUUAGAUACCCGGGUAGUCCCAGCUGUAAACGAUGCAAACUCGGUGAUGCAUUGGCUUAUGGCCAAUGCAGUGCCGCAGGGAAGCCGUUAAGUUU
This 762-nucleotide ribosomal RNA is filed under the name uncultured maize root archaeon ZmrA38. Its description in RNAcentral is "bacterial SSU rRNA". It matches the Rfam family "Archaeal small subunit ribosomal RNA", at positions 53 to 822 of the family's 1478-position model. The record is from RNAcentral.